GUUGGGUUAAGUCCCGCAACGAGCGCAACCCUUGUCCUGUGUUGCCAGCAUGCCCUUCGGGGUGAUGGGGACUCACAGGAGACCGCCGGGGUCAACUCGGAGGAAGGUGGGGACGACGUCAAGUCAUCAUGCCCCUUAUGUCUUGGGCUGCACACGUGCUACAAUGGCCGGUACAAAGAGCUGCGAUGCCGUGAGGCGGAGCGAAUCUCAAAAAGCCGGUCUCAGUUCGGAUUGGGGUCUGCAACUCGACCCCAUGAAGUCGGAGUUGCUAGUAAUCGCAGAUCAGCAUUGCUGCGGUGAAUACGUUCCCGGGCCUUGUACACACC
This 326-nucleotide ribosomal RNA is filed under the name Streptomyces laurentii. RNAcentral describes it as "bacterial SSU rRNA". It matches the Rfam family "Bacterial small subunit ribosomal RNA", at positions 1074 to 1391 of the family's 1533-position model. Lineage: Bacteria; Bacillati; Actinomycetota; Actinomycetes; Kitasatosporales; Streptomycetaceae. The record is from RNAcentral.